This 155-nucleotide ribosomal RNA is filed under the name Triticum aestivum (bread wheat). RNAcentral's name for it is "rRNA SSU_rRNA_eukarya". It matches the Rfam family "Bacterial small subunit ribosomal RNA", at positions 1041 to 1198 of the family's 1533-position model. The record is from RNAcentral. Lineage: Eukaryota; Viridiplantae; Streptophyta; Magnoliopsida; Poales; Poaceae.
GUGCAUGGCUGUCGUUAGCUCGUGUUGUAAGGUGUUGGGUUAAGUCUCGCAACGAACACAUCCCUCGUGUCUAGUUGCCACUGUAAGUUUGGAACCCUGAACAGACCGCUGGUGUUAAGCCGGAGGAAGGAGAGAAUGAGGCCAAGUCAUCAUGC